This 168-nucleotide ribosomal RNA is filed under the name uncultured Clostridium sp. RNAcentral's name for it is "partial 16S ribosomal RNA". It matches the Rfam family "Bacterial small subunit ribosomal RNA", at positions 338 to 524 of the family's 1533-position model. The record is from RNAcentral. Lineage: Bacteria; Bacillati; Bacillota; Clostridia; Eubacteriales; Clostridiaceae.
CCUACGGGAGGCAGCAGUGGGAAUAUUGCACAAUGGGCGAAAGCCUGAUGCAGCAACGCCGCGUGAGUGAUGAAGGCCUCCGGGUUGUAAAGCUCUGUCUUCUGGGACGAUAAUGACGGUACCAGAGGAGGAAGCCACGGCUAACUACGUGCCAGCAGCCGCGGUAAU